Molecule: ribosomal RNA, 493 nt
Filed under: uncultured bacterium
Lineage: Bacteria
Description: bacterial SSU rRNA
Rfam family: Bacterial small subunit ribosomal RNA
Source: RNAcentral
GACGAACGCUGGCGGCGUGCCUAACACAUGCAAGUCGAGCGGAGCCAUCUAAAUGAUCCCUUCGGGGUGAUUUUGGGGAAGCUUAGCGGCGGACGGGUGAGUAACGCGUGAGUAACCUGCCCAUAAGAGGGGAAUAACACAGCGAAAGUUGUGCUAAUACCGCAUAAUGUAUCUUUACCGCAUGAUAGAGAUACCAAAGAUUUAUCGCUUAUGGAUGGACUCGCGUCUGAUUAGAUAGUUGGUGAGGUAACGGCUCACCAAGUCGACGAUCAGUAGCCGAACUGAGAGGUUGAUCGGCCACAUUGGGACUGAGACACGGCCCAGACUCCUACGGGAGGCAGCAGUGGGGAAUAUUGCGCAAUGGGGGCAACCCUGACGCAGCAACGCCGCGUGAAGGAUGAAGGUCUUCGGAUUGUAAACUUUUGCUUUAGGGACGAAAAAGGACGGUACCUAAGGAGGAAGCCACGGCUAACUACGUGCCAGCAGCCGCGGU